This 669-nucleotide ribosomal RNA is filed under the name Salmonella enterica. RNAcentral's name for it is "partial 23S ribosomal RNA". It matches the Rfam family "Bacterial large subunit ribosomal RNA", at positions 2261 to 2925 of the family's 2925-position model. Lineage: Bacteria; Pseudomonadati; Pseudomonadota; Gammaproteobacteria; Enterobacterales; Enterobacteriaceae. RNAcentral also lists the same sequence under 2 other names. The record is from RNAcentral.
GUGGGUAGUUUGACUGGGGCGGUCUCCUCCUAAAGAGUAACGGAGGAGCACGAAGGUUGGCUAAUCCUGGUCGGACAUCAGGAGGUUAGUGCAAUGGCAUAAGCCAGCUUGACUGCGAGCGUGACGGCGCGAGCAGGUGCGAAAGCAGGUCAUAGUGAUCCGGUGGUUCUGAAUGGAAGGGCCAUCGCUCAACGGAUAAAAGGUACUCCGGGGAUAACAGGCUGAUACCGCCCAAGAGUUCAUAUCGACGGCGGUGUUUGGCACCUCGAUGUCGGCUCAUCACAUCCUGGGGCUGAAGUAGGUCCCAAGGGUAUGGCUGUUCGCCAUUUAAAGUGGUACGCGAGCUGGGUUUAGAACGUCGUGAGACAGUUCGGUCCCUAUCUGCCGUGGGCGCUGGAGAACUGAGGGGGGCUGCUCCUAGUACGAGAGGACCGGAGUGGACGCAUCACUGGUGUUCGGGUUGUCAUGCCAAUGGCACUGCCCGGUAGCUAAAUGCGGAAGAGAUAAGUGCUGAAAGCAUCUAAGCACGAAACUUGCCCCGAGAUGAGUUCUCCCUGAGACUUAGAGUCUCCUGAAGGAACGUUGAAGACGACGACGUUGAUAGGCCGGGUGUGUAAGCGCAGCGAUGCGUUGAGCUAACCGGUACUAAUGAACCGUGAGGCUUAACCU